UACGUAGGGUGCAAGCGUUGUCCGGAAUUAUUGGGCGUAAAGAGCUCGUAGGCGGUCUGUCGCGUCGGCUGUGAAAUCUCGGGGCUCAACCCCGAGCCUGCAGUCGAUACGGGCAGACUAGAGUGCUGUAGGGGAGACUGGAAUUCCUGGUGUAGCGGUGAAAUGCGCAGAUAUCAGGAGGAACACCGGUGGCGAAGGCGGGUCUCUGGGCCGAUACUGACGCUGAGGAGCGAAAGCGUGGGGAGCGAACAGG
RNAcentral lists this ribosomal RNA (253 nucleotides) under uncultured bacterium. RNAcentral describes it as "partial 16S ribosomal RNA". It matches the Rfam family "Bacterial small subunit ribosomal RNA", at positions 524 to 776 of the family's 1533-position model. The record is from RNAcentral.